This 748-nucleotide unclassified non-coding RNA is filed under the name Hevea brasiliensis (rubber tree). Lineage: Eukaryota; Viridiplantae; Streptophyta; Magnoliopsida; Malpighiales; Euphorbiaceae. The record is from RNAcentral.
GCAAUAUGAAACAAGCCACAUGAGGAAACUCGAGCUGUAAACCAUUCACCAGCAGCCAGUCUCUUCACUAAUGGUAUAAAAUACUCGACCAAGUCUUGCUCCCUUAUCUGUACCCCAAUUCUACAUAAGGACUCCACUGCUUUAUCUCUAACGCAAGUUUCUUCAACAGUGCACAAAGUCUCAAGCGGUGGAAGCAACACAUUGGCAUGCUCCACACCACCAAUAUAAGGAAUAAAGACCCCCAAUUCUUCCGCCAUUGCAAUAAGCACUUCAUCAUCAUCAUCAUUAUUCUCACUUAAGAAAGGAAUCAAUUCCUUUCGAGUUCUCUCCUCCCCAAGCGCACGUGCAAUUGUAGAAAGCUUACGAAUUGAGUUCAAACGAAGCUGAAUGUCCUCAUUUUUCAGCUCAUCAAUAAGAACAGCAAUUGGGUAUAAAGGCUCAUCGAUUGUUGCCAUUUUCCCACUCUAGAUCUUAGAAAUGAAAGGAGAGCAGAUUGUUAUUGAAGCUCGAUCUGUCAAAACACUGUCUCAAACGAAAAGAUCCUUUCUGGUACAAAGAGAGAGAUCCAAAGAUCCUGAAUUUUUUUUUUCUUUUUCUUUUUCUUUCCUAGAAUUAUUCUAAUUUGAAGGUUUGAAUUUGGGUUUGCGACCGAAGCUCCAUAGAAGAAAUCCUGCGUUACCGGACUUUCAAAUCUUUGCCUGGCCCCGUAUUCUUAGCCCAUUUUUCCGGAUUUCUUGCUUUAUUAGUA